Molecule: ribosomal RNA, 232 nt
Filed under: uncultured bacterium
Lineage: Bacteria
Description: partial 16S ribosomal RNA
Rfam family: Bacterial small subunit ribosomal RNA
Source: RNAcentral
CGGGUGAGUAACGCGUGAGGAACCUGCCUCAAAGAGGGGACAACAGUUGGAAACGACUGCUAAUACCGCAUAAGCCCACGGCUCGGCAUCGAGCAGAGGGAAAAGGAGUGAUCCGCUUUGAGAUGGCCUCGCGUCCGAUUAGCUAGUUGGUGAGGUAACGGCCCACCAAGGCGACGAUCGGUAGCCGGACUGAGAGGUUGAACGGCCACAUUGGGACUGAGACACGGCCCAG